ACACUGUAUGAAUACAUUUCUGU
RNAcentral lists this non-coding RNA (23 nucleotides) under Cricetulus griseus (Chinese hamster). The record is from RNAcentral. Lineage: Eukaryota; Metazoa; Chordata; Mammalia; Rodentia; Cricetidae.